This is a long non-coding RNA of Magnolia sinica, 323 nucleotides long. RefSeq lists it as uncharacterized. The transcript has 2 exons. The record is from RefSeq and is a predicted model, not a curated record. NCBI's taxonomy places the organism in Eukaryota, Viridiplantae, Streptophyta, Magnoliopsida, Magnoliales, Magnoliaceae.
AGCGUCACUAUCGUCACCAAUCUCUACGGGUCCAUCAAGGAGACGUGGCUCACAUUGUGAUGGAGACUUCACUGCUCGCGUAUCAGAUUGGAACAGUGGUAGUGGUUGGAGUGGUCCCUGUAAGGCUGUUGCUCCCUCUCAGUUAUAGAGACGCGCAAUGACUAUUCUUACAAGAUCCAACUCUACCAUCAAACCUUUACCAUUCGCACCAGGGGUGAGAACUUCCACCGGCACAAUACAAUCUGGGUUUCGAGUCCUCUGCAAACGGGUUGAGGUUUAAAUUUCCUAGCCUGUAGCUUAUCCAAGGGAUUAAAAUAAAUAAA